ACUCUAAGCGGUGGAUCACUCGGCUCAUGGGUCGAUGAAGAACGCAGCAAACUGUGCGUCAUCGUGUGAACUGCAGGACACAUGAACAUCGACAUUUUGAACGCAUAUCGCAGUCCAUGCUGUUAUGUACUUUAAUUAAUUUUAUAGUGCUGCUUGGACUACAUAUGGUUGAGGGUUGUAAGACUAUGCUAAUUAAGUUGCUUAUAAAUUUUUAUAAGCAUAUGGUAUAUUAUUGGAUAAAUAUAAUAAUUUUUAUUCAUAAUAUUAAAAAAUAAUGAAAAACAUUAUCUCACAUUUGAAUGUGAAAAACGAAGAGAAAUAUUUUUUCUUUUCAAUCAAAUAAUACUGAGAAAUGUCUAGCAUAAAAAAUUGAAAUAUUUUUCAUCUAGAAUUGUCUCUUAUUAAUGAUUCGGAAAUAGAAAAAUCUUGGUUAUGUUAUUAUUCUUCGUUGGUUCGUUAAAAAUGGAUAAAUAAAAAUUUGCAUACAAGAAUUAAUAAAAAUGUUAUAACGAAUUUAAUUAAAUGUUUUAUCAUUAUAUAUAAAGAAUUUAUGGCAAGAUAAAGUUAUAUACAACCUCAACUCAUAUGGGACUACCCCUGAAUUUAAGCAUAUUAAUUAGGGGAGGAAAAGAAACUAACAAGGAUUUUCUUAGUAGCGGCGAGCGAAAAGAAAACAGUUCAGCACUAAGUCACUUUGUCUAUAUGGCAAAUGUGAGAUGCAGUGUAUGGAGCGUCAAUAUUCUAGUAUGAGAAAUUAACGAUUUAAGUCCUUCUUAAAUGAGGCCAUUUACCCAUAGAGGGUGCCAGGCCCGUAUAACGUUAAUGAUUACUAGAUGAUGUUUCCAAAGAGUCGUGUUGCUUGAUAGUGCAGCACUAAGUGGGUGGUAAACUCCAUCUAAAACUAAAUAUAACCAUGAGACCGAUAGUAAACAAGUACCGUGAGGGAAAGUUGAAAAGAACUCUGAAUAGAGAGUUAAACAGUACGUGAAACUGCUUAGAGGUUAAGCCCGAUGAACCUGAAUAUCCGUUAUGGAAAAUUCAUCAUUAAAAUUGUAAUAUUUAAAUAAUAUUAUGAGAAUAGUGUGCAUUUUUUCCAUAUAAGGACAUUGUAAUCUAUUAGCAUAUACCAAAUUUAUCAUAAAAUAUAACUUAUAGUUUAUUCCAAUUAAAUUGCUUGCAUUUUAACACAGAAUAAAUGUUAUUAAUUUGAUAAAGUGCUGAUAGAUUUAUAUGAUUACAGUGCGUUAAUUUUUCGGAAUUAUAUAAUGGCAUAAUUAUCAUUGAUUUUUGUGUUUAUUAUAUGCACUUGUAUGAUUAACAAUGCGAAAGAUUCAGGAUACCUUCGGGACCCGUCUUGAAACACGGACCAAGGAGUCUAACAUAUGUGCAAGUUAUUGGGAUAUAAACCUAAUAGCGUAAUUAACUUGACUAAUAAUGGGAUUAGUUUUUUAGCUAUUUAUAGCUAAUUAACACAAUCCCGGGGCGUUCUAUAUAGUUAUGUAUAAUGUAUAUUUAUAUUAUUUAUGCCUCUAACUGGAACGUACCUUGAGCAUAUAUGCUGUGACCCGAAAGAUGGUGAACUAUACUUGAUCAGGUUGAAGUCAGGGGAAACCCUGAUGGAAGACCGAAACAGUUCUGACGUGCAAAUCGAUUGUCAGAAUUGAGUAUAGGGGCGAAAGACCAAUCGAACCAUCUAGUAGCUGGUUCCUUCCGAAGUUUCCCUAGGAUAGCUGGUGCAUUUUAAUAUUAUAUAAAUAAUCUUAUCUGGUAAAGCGAAUGAUUAGAGGCCUUAGGGUCGAAACGAUCUUAACCUAUUCUCAAACUUUAAAUGGGUAAGAACCUUAACUUUCUUGAUAUGAAGUUCAAGGUUAUGAUAUAAUGUGCCCAGUGGGCCACUUUUGGUAAGCAGAACUGGCGCUGUGGGAUGAACCAAACGUAAUGUUACGGUGCCCAAAUUAACAACUCAUGCAGAUACCAUGAAAGGCGUUGGUUGCUUAAAACAGCAGGACGGUGAUCAUGGAAGUCGAAAUCCGCUAAGGAGUGUGUAACAACUCACCUGCCGAAGCAACUAGCCUUAAAAUGGAUGGCGCUUAAGUUGUAUACCUAUACAUUACCGCUAAAGUAGAUGAUUUAUAUUACUUGUGAUAUAAAUUUUGAAACUUUAGUGAGUAGGAAGGUACAAUGGUAUGCGUAGAAGUGUUUGGCGUAAGCCUGCAUGGAGCUGCCAUUGGUACAGAUCUUGGUGGUAGUAGCAAAUAAUCGAAUGAGACCUUGGAGGACUGAAGUGGAGAAGGGUUUCGUGUGAACAGUGGUUGAUCACGAGUUAGUCGGUCCUAAGUUCAAGGCGAAAGCCGAAAAUUUUCAAGUAAAACAAAAAUGCCUAACUAUAUAAACAAAGCGAAUUAUAAUACACUUGAAUAAUUUUGAACGAAAGGGAAUACGGUUCCAAUUCCGUAACCUGUUGAGUAUCCGUUUGUUAUUAAAUAUGGGCCUCGUGCUCAUCCUGGCAACAGGAACGACCAUAAAGAAGCCGUCGAGAGAUAUCGGAAGAGUUUUCUUUUCUGUUUUAUAGCCGUACUACCAUGGAAGUCUUUCGCAGAGAGAUAUGGUAGAUGGGCUAGAAGAGCAUGACAUAUACUGUUGUGUCGAUAUUUUCUCCUCGGACCUUGAAAAUUUAUGGUGGGGACACGCAAACUUCUCAACAGGCCGUACCAAUAUCCGCAGCUGGUCUCCAAGGUGAAGAGUCUCUAGUCGAUAGAAUAAUGUAGGUAAGGGAAGUCGGCAAAUUAGAUCCGUAACUUCGGGAUAAGGAUUGGCUCUGAAGAUUGAGAUAGUCGGGCUUGAUUGGGAAACAAUAACAUGGUUUAUGUGCUCGUUCUGGGUAAAUAGAGUUUCUAGCAUUUAUGUUAGUUACUUGUUCCCCGGAUAGUUUAGUUACGUAGCCAAUUGUGGAACUUUCUUGCUAAAAUUUUUAAGAAUACUAUUUGGGUUAAACCAAUUAGUUCUUAUUAAUUAUAACGAUUAUCAAUUAACAAUCAAUUCAGAACUGGCACGGACUUGGGAAUCCGACUGUCUAAUUAAAACAAAGCAUUGUGAUGGCCCUAGCGGUGUUGACACAAUGUGAUUUCUGCCCAGUGCUCUGAAUGUCAAAGUGAAGAAAUUCAAGUAAGCGCGGGUCAACGGCGGGAGUAACUAUGACUCUCUUAAGGUAGCCAAAUGCCUCGUCAUCUAAUUAGUGACGCGCAUGAAUGGAUUAACGAGAUUCCUACUGUCCCUAUCUACUAUCUAGCGAAACCACAGCCAAGGGAACGGGCUUGGAAUAAUUAGCGGGAAAGAAGACCCUUUUGAGCUUGACUCUAAUCUGGCAGUGUAAGGAGACAUAAGAGGUGUAGAAUAAGUGGGAGAUAUUAGACCUCGGUUUGGUAUCGUCAAUGAAAUACCACUACUCUUAUUGUUUCCUUACUUACUUGAUUAAAUGGAACGUGUAUC
This 3489-nucleotide ribosomal RNA is filed under the name Drosophila melanogaster (fruit fly). RNAcentral describes it as "eukaryotic LSU rRNA". The stretch from base 572 to 3489 matches the Rfam family "Eukaryotic large subunit ribosomal RNA", at positions 1 to 2546 of the family's 3401-position model. Lineage: Eukaryota; Metazoa; Arthropoda; Insecta; Diptera; Drosophilidae. The record is from RNAcentral.